AAGCAUCGGCCUUAACUCCGUGCCAGCAGCCGCGGUAAUACGGAGGAUGCAAGCGUUAUCCGGAUUUAUUGGGUUUAAAGGGUGUGCAGGCGGAAUGAUAAGUCAGUGGUGAAAUCCUACGGCUCAACCGUAGAAUUGCCAUUGAUACUGUUAUUCUUGAGUACAGUUGAAGUGGGCGGAAUGUGUCAUGUAGCGGUGAAAUGCAUAGAUAUGACACAGAACACCGAUAGCGAAGGCAGCUCACUAAGCUGUGACUGACGCUCAUGCACGAAAGCGUGGGGAGCAAACAGGAUUAGAUACCCUGGUAGUCCACGCUGUAAACGAUGAUCACUCGCUGUUGGCGAUAUACAGUCAGCGGCUAAGCGAAAGUAUUAAGUGAUCCACCUGGGGAGUACGAUCGCAAGGUUGAAACUCAAAGGAAUUGACGGGGGCCCGCACAAGCGGAGGAGCAUGUGGUUUAAUUCGAUGAUACGCGAGGAACCUUACCUGGGCUUAAAUGUUGGACGAUCGUUCCGGAAACGGGACUUUCCUUUUGGACGUCCAGCAAGGUGCUGCAUGGUUGUCGUCAGCUCGUGCCGUGAGGUGUCGGGUUAAGUCCCAUAACGAGCGCAACCCCUAUUCUUAGUUGCCAUCAGGUAAUGCUGGGGACUCUAAGAAAACUGCCUACGCAAGUAGUGAGGAAGGUGGGGAUGACGUCAAAUCAGCACGGCCCUUAUGUCCAGGGCUACACACGUGCUACAAUGGUCGGUACAGAGGGCAGCUAUAUGGUGACAUAGUGCUAAUCUCGAAAAUCGGUCUCAGUUCGGAUCGAAGUCUGCAACUCGACUUCGUGAAGCUGGAUUCGCUAGUAAUCGCGCAUCAGCCAUGGCGCGGUGAANCGUUCCCGGGCCUUGUACACACCGCCCGUCAAGCCAUGGAAGUUGGGGGUACCUAAAGUCCGUUACCGCAAGGAGCGGCCUAGGGUAAACCAAU
Molecule: ribosomal RNA, 972 nt
Filed under: uncultured organism
Description: bacterial SSU rRNA
Rfam family: Bacterial small subunit ribosomal RNA
Source: RNAcentral